This 253-nucleotide ribosomal RNA is filed under the name uncultured bacterium. RNAcentral's name for it is "partial 16S ribosomal RNA". It matches the Rfam family "Bacterial small subunit ribosomal RNA", at positions 524 to 776 of the family's 1533-position model. The record is from RNAcentral.
GACGAGGGAUGCAAGCGUUAUCCGGAAUGAUUGGGCGUAAAGCGUCUGUAGGUGGUUUAUUAAGUCUAGUGUUAAAGAUCAGGGCUUAACCCUGAGUCGGCAGUAGAAACUGAUGAGCUUGAGUACGGUAGGGGCAGAGGGAAUUCCCGGUGUAGCGGUGAAAUGCGUAGAGAUCGGGAAGAACACCAAUGGCGAAAGCACUCUGCUGGGCCGAAACUGACACUCAGAGACGAAAGCUAGGGGAGCGAAUGGG